GGGGCCAAGUGAAUGGGCGGGGCCAAGGAAGCGGAGAGGGCGGAGAAGGGCAGGUCGGACAGGGUCUACACUGCGGGGAGCUCGCGAGGCUGCCCGCGAGGGGGGCGGUCGGGGUGCUGUCCUAGCGGCUUCCGGUCGUUGGAGGUGGGGUUCUGUAGUGCCCGCUUGGAGAUUGUGGGUUUUUUUGUUUGUUUGUUUGUUUGUUUCCGGCAACACCCGCUUGCCAUGAGGCCACAGAGUCAAGUAAGCCAUUUCAGAAGAAAGUGAGGUGUAGGAGUGAACUAAGUGCCUGAUCCAAGGAAUGGCCUGUGAUGAAAAGCUGGGUCUCCAGCAGGUGUGGCCCAGAUUAAAGGUGUGUACCACCACACCUGGAUCUGGGACUUGCUUUGUCCCAAGCUGAACUUAGAGACCUCCAUGCCUCCUACUUUGCCUGGGCCUAAGCUUUUCAUGGCCACUGUGCCGCAAGAGCUCCAUGCCAAGAUCCAGGUCAGAAACUUGUGUCUUCCAGCCUCAAGAUCUGAAUCACAGGCAGCAUGAGACCCCUUCAUCCUAGGUAUGUGAAGGAACCCACCCUGGCAGUAAGGGCCAUGCAUCCUGGGCAUUCCAAUGUCAUCAGCACUUCCCUCAUCCAUUCCAGGUCUGUCAUCACUCCUGGUACAACCUCUCUGCCCAGUUUUAAAACAAAACAAAACAAAUGAAAACCGCAAGAACUUUGAAGUGAUGCCUAGAAUAGCACAUAUGGAAGUAGAUCUACUUCCCUUCCUCCAUUCCUGGCACAAGAAACUGAUGAGCUAGGACUUGAAUAUUUGCCCAUUUUGGAAAGCCACACCAUCACCACAUCAAUCCUAAAAAAAGAAAUCAAAACAUAUGUUCACCAGGUUGAGGCCACAUCUGCCUCCCGAGUCUCUAUGAAUGUUGCUGAAAACCAGUGCGCCAUCCUCAGGAGCCUUUCUUCCAGCCGGCCGUUUCCUUUGAGUUGCCUGAGCAGUCAGUGCCUUUGAGACAGAGCUGUCAAAGCACCUCCCUAGUUUCCUAGUACUACACGUUUUGCCACCAAAUGAAUGAAAAGAAUUUGCUAUCAGCUAUUUUGGAAUGAGUAAAGAUGGGAGCGGGAAUGUCAAGAGUUUAAAUGAGCAACACGAACAGUUUGGACAUUUGCACUGGUGAAGUGAGGAGUCCCAGUAUGGUAGGCAAGUUAAAGGUUCACCUUGUUUUAUUACACAGCAUUGUUCUAGUCCUACUGAGGACUGAUAUAGCAAGUCUUCCUACUUCUGCAGGCAAAUCAGAAUAAAGAACUCCCCUACUUAAAGGUCCCUCAGGAUGUUUGCCUGUGAAGAAAACCAGCUCAGAGACCCUGGAAGCUCUCCUGUGACAGUAUGUCCUAAAGCCCAACCCAACCACCUGUUUACAUGUCUGUGCUUCUGAGAACCUAGAUGCAGCUACAUAGGCACUGCUACCAGAAAAGAGUUGAGGUAGCCGGGUGGUGAGGAAGAGAUCUCUCCUUUCACACCUGCUUACGACGAUGACAUUGGGACCUCUAUAGGCAUCUCCAUUCCAUUCCUCAGCAGGCUAUGCCACAGAGCUCACAGCAGGAGACUCAAUGCAGGAAGAGUACCAGAAUGUCCACUGAGAGUCGGGUAAGCAUGAAAACCUUCACAGCUUACUGUACGAUGAAAUGUCAUCACAGGAUUUCUGAUCUUGGUUUGAGAAUCUUAUCCAGGACUCACAGGGGCUCAUGGUGCCCAUGUUCAACCCUAACAUGGUGUUCACUUCUGAAGCAUGGAGGUUGUGGAUCAACUCUUGGUACACAAUAAACU
This 1817-nucleotide long non-coding RNA is filed under the name Mus musculus (house mouse). Its description in RNAcentral is "predicted gene, 26533 (Gm26533)". Lineage: Eukaryota; Metazoa; Chordata; Mammalia; Rodentia; Muridae. The record is from RNAcentral.